AGCAGCCGCGGUAAUUCCAGCUCCAAUAGCGUAUAUUAAAGUUGUUGCAGUUAAAAAGCUCGUAGUUGAAUUUCGGGGUCAGUAGGUUGGUCAUGCCACUGGUAUGCACUGGUCUCACUGAUUCCUCCUUCCUGAUGAGCCGUAAUGCCAUUAAUUUGGUGUUGCGGGGAAUCUGGACUGUUACUUUGAAAAAUUAGAGUGUUUAAAGCAGGCUAACGCUUGAAUACAUUAGCAUGGAAUAAUGAAAUAGGACGAUCGAUCCUAUUUUGUUGGUUUCUAGGAUUGACGUAAUGAUUAAUAGGGAUAGUUGGGGGCAUUAGUAUUCAAUUGUCAGAGGUGAAAUUCUUGGAUUUAUUGAAGACUAACUACUGCGAAAGCAUUUGCCAAGGAUGUUUUCAUUAAUCAAGAACGAAAGUUAGGGGAUCGAAGACGAUCAGAUACCGUCGUAGUCUUAACCAUAAACUAUGCCGACUAGGGAUCGGAUGAUGUUAAUUUUUAAUGA
Molecule: ribosomal RNA, 502 nt
Filed under: uncultured Glomus
Lineage: Eukaryota; Fungi; Glomeromycota; Glomeromycetes; Glomerales; Glomeraceae
Description: SSU rRNA
Rfam family: Eukaryotic small subunit ribosomal RNA
Source: RNAcentral